UACGAAGGGGGCUAGCGUUGUUCGGAAUCACUGGGCGUAAAGGGCGCGUAGGCGGCUUUAUAAGUCGGGGGUGAAAGCCUGUGGCUCAACCACAGAAUUGCCUUCGAUACUGUAGAGCUUGAGACCGGAAGAGGUUAGUGGAACUGCGAGUGUAGAGGUGAAAUUCGUAGAUAUUAGGAAGAACACCAGUGGCGAAGGCGGCUCACUGGCCCGGUACUGACGCUGAGGCGCGAAAGCGUGGGGAGCAAACAGG
RNAcentral lists this ribosomal RNA (253 nucleotides) under uncultured bacterium. RNAcentral describes it as "partial 16S ribosomal RNA". It matches the Rfam family "Bacterial small subunit ribosomal RNA", at positions 524 to 776 of the family's 1533-position model. The record is from RNAcentral.